AUAGGGUCACUAAGGGAGGUUUGAGAUGUCAUAGCUUGAACUCACUUUCUGCCUGCCCUCGGCUUCCUAACUGCAGCUGCGAUGUGACCCCUCAUGUACCAGCUGCCAUGCUCUCCCUGCUGUGAUGGGGCGUAGCCUCUUAAACUGAAGCCAGAUAAUCCCUUCUCUCCAAAGUGGAUUCUUGUAACGUAUAUUGUUCAUGACAAGAAAAGUGAUCCAACGGUAAAGAAAACAUCCGUUUCUUGUGGCAGCUGAGCUGAGUUGUACAUGCAUCAGUCAUCUGAGAUCUGGGAGAUGUAGAAAGAACAGCAAGUGCAGAGCCCCAAGGGAGACAUAAACUAUAACAGACAUGAGAAAAAUUCCUAGUUAAAGAAGAUCACUGUUGCUCCAGCAUACUCGUGAUUCAUGCACCCAUUGUACAUGAGAACCUCAGCCAAGUCGAAGACCCAAGUUCAGCCCCUGGAGCAAUGAAUGACAUAGGAGAGAACUGAAGCCCAGAGGUUGUCCCCUCACUUCCACGUGCGUACCAUACCAUGUGCACCCAUACACGAAUAAAUAUUAAAAAACUA
Mastomys coucha (southern multimammate mouse) is the source of this 569-nucleotide long non-coding RNA. RefSeq lists it as uncharacterized. Lineage: Eukaryota; Metazoa; Chordata; Mammalia; Rodentia; Muridae. The record is from RefSeq and is a predicted model, not a curated record. The transcript is spliced from 2 exons.